RNAcentral lists this ribosomal RNA (532 nucleotides) under uncultured bacterium. RNAcentral's name for it is "bacterial SSU rRNA". It matches the Rfam family "Bacterial small subunit ribosomal RNA", at positions 977 to 1509 of the family's 1533-position model. The record is from RNAcentral.
GGCCUUGACAUACUAAGAACUUUCCAGAGAUGGAUUGGUGCCUUCGGGAACUUAGAUACAGGUGCUGCAUGGCUGUCGUCAGCUCGUGUCGUGAGAUGUUGGGUUAAGUCCCGNAACGAGCGCAACCCUUUUCCUAUUUGCCAGCGGGUCAUGCCGGGAACUUUAAGGAUACUGCCAGUGGCAAACUGGAGGAAGGCGGGGACGACGUCAAGUCAUCAUGGCCCUUACGGCCAGGGCUACACACGUGCUACAAUGGUCGGUACAAAGGGUUGCUACCUCGCGAGAGGAUGCUAAUCUCAAAAAGCCGAUCGUAGUCCGGAUCGCAGUCUGCAACUCGACUGCGUGAAGUCGGAAUCGCUAGUAAUCGCGGAUCAGAAUGCCGCGGUGAAUACGUUCCCGGGCCUUGUACACACCGCCCGUCACACCAUGGGAGUUUGUUGCACCAGAAGUAGGUAGUCUAACCGCAAGGAGGACGCUUACCACGGUGUGGCCGAUGACUGGGGUGAAGUCGUAACAAGGUAGGCGUAGAUGA